UAGAUUAAAAAAAUGUAAUUGACACAUAACAAUUAUACACAUUUGUGGAGCACAGAGUGAUAUUGCCUAUGUAUACGGUUUGUAAUGAUCAAAUUGUGAUAAUCAGCAUGUCUAUCACCUCAAAUACUUAUUUCUUUUUAUUGGGAGCAUUCAAAAUCCUCUCUUCUAGCUAUUGGAAAAUACACACUAAAUUACUGUUAACUAUAGUCCCCCUGCAGUGCUGCGGAAUGCCACAACUUAUCCCUCCUCUCCAGCUGUAGUUUAGUAUCCAGUAACAUACUCUUUUCAUUUCCUUUCUUUGGGCAGAAGGCUAGAUGUUGCCUGUUUUUGUUUUAUUUUUCUGCUUCACAUAUAGCGCACGAAAGCAGAGUGUAUUCAAAAAAGGAAAUGUGUUUGAAAAAAAAAAAAGGAAACGAAUUUACAUAGGACCUGUAAGCAUAAGACAAAAAAUGGAAUCUGGUCAUUGACAACCUUAAAUAUAAAGAUGCCAAUUUUAGACUGCGACAAUGGUCCAGAACAUGACAGAUCUUUGUGAUGACUUUGCCUUGCCCGGCACACUCACAGGCAGCUGCCUUUGCUGAAAUGAGGCCUUGUGUCUGCUAGGAGAGUAGCACUCAGAUUUUCCACCCAUUGCUGAAUGAGUUUCCUGAGGCUUCUAUAACAGAUUACCAUACACCAGGUGGCUUAAACCAACAGAAGUGUAUUCUCUUACAGUUCUGAGGCUUCAAGGCUGAGACCAGCGUGUGGGCAGGGCCGUGCUCCUGUGGAAAGCUCUAGAGAAAAAUCCUUCUUUGCCUCUUCCUGCGUCUGUGGUGGCCGCCAGUCCUUACGUCCCCUGUCUUGCAGCCACGUUGAUCUGAUUUCUGUCUCUGUCUUCACAUGGCUGUCUUCUCUGUCAUGAGUCUCUGUGUCUCUGUUUUCUCUGCUUAUAAGGAUACCAGUCAUUGGGUUAGGGCCCGCCAUACUCCAGUAUAACCUUAUCUUAACUAACUAUAUCUGCAAGGAUCGUAUUUCCAAAUAAAGUGACAUUCAGAGGUUCCAGAUGGACAUGAAUUUUGGGGGACACUAUUCAUUCAACACAGUGUAAUCGCCAAAGUCACGUACUGGCACUGUCCUACUGGCACUGGAGGGUUUUUGUUUGCUUGUUUAUUUUAAGCAUUCCAUUUUGCUCAUGAAUAAUGAGUUAUUAACAGCAGGAGGUUCAGAAGGUUGUGUGGCUCUUUGGAAAUAUAUGACAAUGCUAUCUUCUAGAUCCCCUCACCUGGGUCAGGCAGUGAGGUGUUGCCCAUAGGAGCCUCUAUAGGUGCAGGUUCCCCUUGGUACCAUGCUUUGCACAUCGUGUGAGCUCAGAGUUUGUGGACAGAUAGAAACUCAGGAAACACAAAAUAUCGAUCCAUAUGGUAUUUAGCUGAAUCUGUGAAGACUGUCAUUGAUUGCCAAGAAUUAUGAGGAUAUUGCUAAGUCAGUGGCAGUCAUUUACACUCCACAAAAAGCCAUUUUCACAUCUCGACACACUGAACAUGUAUUUUUAGAGAAUGACUAAAUGCAGUUCCAUCCCCUAUUAGGAAUUCCCUGCUCGCAGCAUUCUCCAGGAAAAUGUUGUCAAGGAGAUUAACUGUCCACAUGGACUCAUCAUUUGCCCCAAAUAUAAUUUUGGCUUUGAAUCAUGUAGCGAAGCAGCCAGAUGAAGGGAGGCCCGGCACAGCCAAAGCUCUGAAGCCUGGGAAGUAUUGCCGUCCCACUCUGAGAACAUAGUUCAGUGAAUCAUUUUCCUGGCUUCCUUUCAAAGUCUGAGGAAAUGAAGUCCUUAGGUUUGAAACAGUGAUUCCCAGGAGCAGGUAAGUGCUGAAAGCCUCAUCAGGUGGCACGUUUACUAAAGCCACUUGUUUCUUUUGAAACAGGUUUAAUAUAGACCAUCUUAAAAUGUCAUGACCUCAUGGGACAAUGCAGGGGGACAGAAAUAAGUUGUCACCUCUGAGUUUGGGACUGAAGAUCCCAGAGCCACAGUGAGGGAAGACGGAAGGGGGCCGUGGCGAACUGGGCUGUUAAGAGAUCAUGUGGCCAGUGCAGGGACACAGGACCCCCCCGGAGAGAAAGGGUCUGGGUCUCCUCCUGAGAGCCUGUUCAGGAAUCUCCAAAUUCUUGAACUUGUGGCGUGGUUUUCUUUGGAAAGGAAGGAAGGUGUAAAGAAGCCCAAGUCAGUUUCUCACUUGAGAAAUGCUGUUGCAAAGGGGCAGUGUGGUGGGAAUUUUAACCUUUGCCACUCCCUCUAGCAGAACUGUGUGGUUUUGGACAGGCUGGCCGCUAGUUUCAGGGCACAAUAGAGGGACACUUCCACCCCUUUCAGUGACUUCCCAAGGUGGCUCUGCAGAGCACCCCUUAGGAGAGUGGAGCCUGGCCUCUGAGGCCAUUCUGAAUGAGGGGAAGGUGGGGAUGACCCAGGAAGGCCAGCGCUGCAUGGCUGCACCCCCUCUCCUGCAUUUACCCCCAGGUGCCUGUGCUGGCAGCGGCACAUCACCAGGCCUCCUCCUCUCCGUGGCUCCAUUCACAGCUCCUGCUGGCUGAGGCCUUGGACCUGGCUGCCCACCGCACUUCUCCCCGCCUGAACCACCUCCAUCUCCCUCCAGAUGGUGACCGAGGCCUCCUAGCUUACCCUAACCACCUCCUGCCUCCACCCCGGCCCCUAGCACACACCUGAGCAUCCUCCACCCAAUGGCCAAAGUGAUUCCUUACAAUAGAAAGCAGACUGGGGCCCUCCUCUUCUUGGAAGCCUCACUGUCUUCCCUUCCCUGGGAGUGAGAUCCAAAGUCUUUGCUUGACCCACAGGGUCCUGUACCUGGUGGCCCACUGUGUCCCUCCCCCGUACCCUCACUCUCCGCCUCCCAUCCCACUACGCCUUGGCCUCUUGGGACUCCAGAGCGAGCCGUGCCUUAGAGCCCUGGGCUGCUGCCCCUUCCCCCAGCUCUCUCCUGGCUCCUGCCUAGUUCAGGCACCUUUCCCAGUGUCACACUCCCAGGGAGAUCCUCCCUAAAUGCCUCAUCUCUGUCCCUACUCUGUUUAUCUUACUACAGUCUGACCCACGUAUGGAUUUGGGCAUUUAGAUGUUUCUCUACCCACCCUCCUCCGCAUUAGAAUGUUAACUCUUGGGAGCAAGAGCUUUGUUUUCUGUGUGGCGGCAUGCUUGGUUCCUGCUCAAGAAAAAAAAAUUUUUUUGAAAGAACAAAUAACAUCAACACUCAAUACUCAUUUAUUCACAUAUUUAAGACAUUUUUCCUGGGUAUCCCAUUUUAAUUCAUCCUUAAAAUGGAACUGAUCUUGCCUCCUUAGCCUAAGUUCAGGGGAAAUGGAUGCAAAGCUCUGAAAGUCACUGAUCUGGGUGCUGUGAGGUGACAUCAUCACAGGUGACAUCACCAGCCAGCCAUGGAGAGGUUUGAACGAACCUUCCCCCUUUCUCCCAGACAGAUGUGACCAGGCUUUAUGAAAAUUUGUCUGUAAAGAGGCACUUUUCACCACAUUAUUUUAAUACACUUGUGUUAUUACCAGAAAAAUGGGAAAGAAGGAAAUAAAAUUUGCAUCGACUUUC
Molecule: long non-coding RNA, 3583 nt
Organism: Homo sapiens (human)
Lineage: Eukaryota; Metazoa; Chordata; Mammalia; Primates; Hominidae
Exons: 2
Source: RefSeq, a predicted model, not a curated record